ACCUGGCUGGCUCCGUUGGUGGAGCAUGUGACUCUUGAUCUUAGAGAUGCGAGUUCAAGUCCCACGUUGGGUG
This 73-nucleotide transfer RNA is filed under the name Felis catus (domestic cat). It matches the Rfam family "tRNA". Rfam says of the family: Transfer RNA (tRNA) molecules are approximately 80 nucleotides in length. The record is from Rfam by way of RNAcentral. RNAcentral also lists the same sequence under 1 other name. Lineage: Eukaryota; Metazoa; Chordata; Mammalia; Carnivora; Felidae.